This 492-nucleotide ribosomal RNA is filed under the name uncultured bacterium. Its description in RNAcentral is "partial 16S ribosomal RNA". It matches the Rfam family "Bacterial small subunit ribosomal RNA", at positions 29 to 507 of the family's 1533-position model. The record is from RNAcentral.
AGUGAACGCUGGCGGUAGGCCUAACACAUGCAAGUCGAACGGCAGCACAGUAAGAGCUUGCUCUUACGGGUGGCGAGUGGCGGACGGGUGAGGAAUACAUCGGAAUCUACUUUUUCGUGGGGGGUAACGUAGGGAAACUUACGCUAAUACCGCAUACGACCUACGGGUGAAAGCAGGGGAUCUUCUGACCUUGCGCGAUUGAAUGAGCCGAUGUCGGAUUAGCUAGUUGGCGGGGUAAAUGCCCACCAAGGCGACGAUCCGUAGCUGGUCUGAGAGGAUGGUCAGCCACACUGGAACUGAGACACGGUCCAGACUCCUACGGGAGGCAGCAGUGGGGAAUAUUGGACAAUGGGCGCAAGCCUGAUCCAGCCAUACCGCGUGGGUGAAGAAGGCCUUCGGGUUGGAAAGCCCUUUUGUUGGGAAAGAAAAGCAGCAGGUUAAUACCCCGCUGUUCUGACGGUACCCAAAGAAUAAGCACCGGCUAACUUCGUG